UUCUUCAGAAGUUUCUACUCUCAGUACAAUCAGUUAAAUUAAAUCAUAGAAUCUGAAACUGAAGUUUUGUGACACAGUGCUCCAAUCCUGGCUUUGGUUUGCCUCAGCACCAUGCAACACCCUUACCUUAUCUUUUGCAGUGGCACCAAUCACAGAAAAAUGUGGGAUUAAUUUGAUCAGUAUACCAUCCCCAUAAAUCUUCUUAAGAUGCUUUUUUCAUUGAAGAACAUAUUUCAUUUAUAAGUGUUGUUUCAAUAAACCAAGUAAUCUGAGAUAUCUUUGCUCAAUGUAUUUCGAAAACUGAAAGUACCUGUUAGGUCAUGUUGGGUUUUGCCUUUUUUUUUCUUUUUUAUCAUUAUUCUUAGGAUGAGAAAAAGGCAUUUUUCAAACACUUAUCUGCAUCUUUCAUCUUCUCAUUUAAAUUCUUCAACCCAAAUUCAAUAAUCAUCCAUCAGAAUUUCAACACCUUGUAGUCCCACAGUGGUCUGUUCAAUUACUUUUAGAAAUAUCCUGGGAAAGAACUAAUGCCAAAUGGUACACUCUAAAGUUUGUAACAUUUAAAUGCUGUAUUUGAAGUAUAAAAUUUAGAACUUGCCUCAUUUACAUUUGCCUGCCAAAAUAUAUAUCCUGCAUCUAGUCCCAUGAUGAUUUUUUGCUUUAUGUGAGCUUUAAUUAUAAAUUCCAGGGAAAACUCCUAUGUAAGUUACACUCCCUGCAAGGGUCAUGAUAUAUCAAAUGUAUCAACCAUUUAUGUGAAGUCGAUGCACUGCGCUGCUCAUGUGUGGAAGGCAAGUUUUCUAUGCAACAAGGGCCAAACCACUUUCCUAUUCUGUCCUUGACCAUCACUCUUUUAUUUUCUUUUUUCUCAGUUUUGGACAACCAACUCUACCAUCCCAUCCUUUGCACACUGAAAUUCUCUAGGACAUUCAGCAACUAAUCUCUAACAAACUUUAAAUUUCAGAGUGAAACUUCCUAUUCAUGCAAAGUGGGUUUUACUCACAGUCAGGAUUUAGGGCACCAGAGGGUAACCAACAUUACACAUCCAUUUGGUACGUCAGCCAGCCUUGGGCAGGGUGCAUCACACAGAGCAUACAUCUGGAAAUGUUGUGGCCAUAGGCCAAAAAGCAAACCUUGAACUCAACAACUCCCUCAAAAGAACUCAUUCUCCUUGUCACUCAGAACAGCCCACUUUCAUUUGAGG
RNAcentral lists this long non-coding RNA (1201 nucleotides) under Strigops habroptila (Kakapo). RNAcentral describes it as "lncRNA (ENSSHBG00005009800.1)". The record is from RNAcentral. Lineage: Eukaryota; Metazoa; Chordata; Aves; Psittaciformes; Psittacidae.